RNAcentral lists this transfer RNA (74 nucleotides) under Streptomyces alboflavus. Its description in RNAcentral is "tRNA-Gln". It matches the Rfam family "tRNA". Rfam says of the family: Transfer RNA (tRNA) molecules are approximately 80 nucleotides in length. Lineage: Bacteria; Bacillati; Actinomycetota; Actinomycetes; Kitasatosporales; Streptomycetaceae. The record is from RNAcentral.
UCCCGGGUCGUCUAAGGGCAAGACGUCAGAUUUUGGUUCUGAUCAUGGGGGUUCGAGUCCUCCCCCGGGAGCUA